This 64-nucleotide transfer RNA is filed under the name Hierodulella sp. JZ-2017. RNAcentral's name for it is "tRNA-Pro". It matches the Rfam family "tRNA". Rfam says of the family: Transfer RNA (tRNA) molecules are approximately 80 nucleotides in length. Their secondary structure includes four short double-helical elements and three loops (D, anti-codon, and T loops). Lineage: Eukaryota; Metazoa; Arthropoda; Insecta; Mantodea; Mantidae. The record is from RNAcentral.
CAAAGGGUAGUUUAAAUAAAAAUAUUAGUUUUGGAAAUUAAAGAUAAGAUAUUCUUCCCUUUGA